UUAAGAAUCUUGGACAAUGGACGCAAGUCUGAUCCAGCGACGCCGCGUAGAUGAUGAAGGUCUUCGGAUUGUAAAAUCUAAUAAGUAGAGACGAAGAAGCACGGGGUAAUAUUCCGUGUGGUGACGGUAUCUACCUAAAGCCACGGCUAAAUACGUGCCAGCAGCCGCGGUAAUACGUAUGUGGCAAGCGUUGUUCGGAAUUAUUGGGCAUAAAGGGCAUCUAGGCGGGAUAUUAAGUCGGGUGUGAAAUCUCGAGGCUCAACCUCGAAACUGCACUCGAUACUGGUAUUCUUGAGUAAGGGAGAGGAAAGCGGAAUUCCUGGUGUAGCGGUGAAAUGCGUAGAUAUCAGGAAGAACACCGGUGGCGAAGGCGGCUUUCUGGCCUAUUACUGACGCUGAAGUGCGAAAGCGUGGGGAGCGAACGGGAUUAGAUACCCCCGUAGUCC
RNAcentral lists this ribosomal RNA (446 nucleotides) under uncultured prokaryote. Its description in RNAcentral is "bacterial SSU rRNA". It matches the Rfam family "Bacterial small subunit ribosomal RNA", at positions 355 to 796 of the family's 1533-position model. The record is from RNAcentral.